GCAAAAAAAAAAACAAAUGAAUUACAAAAGGUUCCUAUGGUCAAAUUGCGAUAAUACAGAAAGGGAACAUCUAAAUCGGUGUUACAGCUACCAUUGCAAAGUUUCUUUAUUCGAUAUGGAAAAAUGCAUUACAUGUUUAAUGUAUGAAGCCAUUGAAAUACUUUAAUGUACCUUACGUAAAAAACAGUGGAUAAUGAAAUUGCCAGAAUUAUGGUAUCGCAUAAAAUGAAGGUUACAUUGAGCGAAAAGCAUGAUCAGGGCUUUACCAAAUAACAAAAUCAUACUUCUCCUUUUCUCAAUAUAUGGCAUUUUAGGUUUCAUUGAAGACAAGUCUUUGAAAAGGAUUUACUUUGUGUUGUUUUUAAGGCAUGAAAUUUAUAUCACUAGAUUCAUCCUCAAAAGUACUUAAUGUGGAUUCAUAUCAUAUAAAUCACAUAUUAAUGAAGUAAUUCUUGGUCAAAGUCUUGUAUUAACGAAACCUAAUAUGUCCUGUAUUGACAAAAUGAGGGAGUAUAUUAUCUAACAGUGCAUGUAUACAGGCACGAUACUGGUAGCGCGUAUUACAAGCAAGGUAUCUUAAAAACAUUGCAACACAGUGCCAGACCAGCGAGGCAACUGCGAGCUACACAUGUAUGGUGAAACAAGCCUCGCAACUUCGUAAGUAACUCCAAAACUACAUCAGCACGUCUCUUGAACUUUGGAAACACACAGACGUGUUCCACGACCGUGAGGCGACGGAGUUAACGGGGCAGCGUUGCCGGAAAGACAAGAGUACCGUAACAAGGCCCAGACUGGGCUGCAUCGGCGUUCUGCCUCUAUUACAAGCGAGAGAUGUUGAACCGGCCAAGGUUAGGCAAGGCAGUCAGCGGGAGGAUUUUUUUUUUUUUGUUGUUGGUUUUGAAGAGGCGCGGGAGGAGAAGAACUUGCUUGACCAGCCCACAAGAUCGUGAACCGGUAUGACAUUGACAUUUUAUUUAGGGCCAGUAACGUGUAAUUAGAAGUACUAGCUUACAUCUCUUCCUUUUUGAACCGUCAGAUCUGCAACCAUAUCAUCUCUCCCCUUUGUCCUCUUCGCUAUGCCGAUUUUAGUGAAACGCCGCUGCCAAAUCUUCACAGGAUUGUGAACCGGCAGCAGCUUCGACCCUUCAAUAUUAUUAUUACAGCUAAAUAAAAGACUGAAAUUAUAGGUGAGGUCCUUUGUUCUAAUCGCCCAAGCGAGCAGAAGCCAAGAGAUUACGUGCAAGCAUAGCAUGGCCAUGUUCGCCAACUCAUGACAUAGUGGCACAGGGACUAACCACCUGGAUUACAUGGCUAGCUUCCAUAUAUGUGCAACAAAAUAUUGGUACCAGGCAGCCAUCUGUGCCACCAACCAUAAACUCCCUGAUCCCAAAAAAUACAAAAUACCAAGAGUUUCCACCCACAUCAGUACAAGUGCACAACAGUUUAAGAGACAAGCCAAGGAUCAUUCCCAGUUUGUGGGAAUAAAUAAGAGUCCGCAGCAAACAGAAAACUCAAAAUCGCUGGCAAAGUUAGGAUGUGGAAAAAAGAAAGGCUUAAAAUGAUCUAGCCAUGGCGUCAGAAUCUAUUAUCAAUGUUUCUCUCUCAAGGAUUUCCCUUCUAUAUAAAGUAUAAUAUUACAAAGGGGCUGCUUAAAUAUCAUGGACUCCUGGAAUGUAAAGAGGGUAAUAAUCAACACUACAUGAGCCUCCUUUUUCCU
This is a long non-coding RNA of Brachypodium distachyon (stiff brome), 1717 nucleotides long. RefSeq lists it as uncharacterized. The transcript is spliced from 2 exons. NCBI's taxonomy places the organism in Eukaryota, Viridiplantae, Streptophyta, Magnoliopsida, Poales, Poaceae. The record is from RefSeq and is a predicted model, not a curated record.